This 253-nucleotide ribosomal RNA is filed under the name uncultured bacterium. RNAcentral describes it as "partial 16S ribosomal RNA". It matches the Rfam family "Bacterial small subunit ribosomal RNA", at positions 524 to 776 of the family's 1533-position model. The record is from RNAcentral.
UACGGAGGGUGCGAGCGUUGUCCGGAAUCACUGGGCGUAAAGGGCGCGUAGGCGGCGCGGGCAGUCAACGGUGAAAGCUUGGGGCUCAACCCUGAGUCGGCCGUCGAUACUCCCGUGCUUGAGCACUGUAGAGGCAGGUGGAAUUCCGGGUGUAGCGGUGGAAUGCGUAGAGAUCCGGAAGAACACCGGUGGCGAAGGCGGCCUGCUGGGCAGUAGCUGACGCUGAGGCGCGACAGCGUGGGGAGCAAACAGG